UGUGCGGUGUUGUAAUUGGAAGCAUGGUGCCCUAUUGCGGUUCGAUUCCGUCAUAUGACUGUUGGGAGCAUGGAUUACGGAGCAGGUUCAAAUCCUGUCCGCACAU
This 106-nucleotide transfer RNA is filed under the name Eubacteriales bacterium. RNAcentral describes it as "tRNA-OTHER". It matches the Rfam family "tRNA". Rfam says of the family: Transfer RNA (tRNA) molecules are approximately 80 nucleotides in length. Their secondary structure includes four short double-helical elements and three loops (D, anti-codon, and T loops). Further hydrogen bonds mediate the characteristic L-shaped molecular structure. tRNAs have two regions of fundamental functional importance: the anti-codon, which is responsible for specific mRNA codon recognition, and the 3' end, to which the tRNAs corresponding amino acid is attached (by aminoacyl-tRNA synthetases). tRNAs cope with the degeneracy of the genetic code in two manners: having more than one tRNA (with a specific anti-codon) for a particular amino acid; and 'wobble' base-pairing, i.e. permitting non-standard base-pairing at the 3rd anti-codon position. Lineage: Bacteria; Bacillati; Bacillota; Clostridia; Eubacteriales. The record is from RNAcentral.